ACUAUUUUUCAUUUCAGUUGUCAGAUUGAUACCAGCGAACGGGGAUGGGGGCGGCGUUACUUCCCGUUUCUAGUUGUGUGGGGGUUCCGUCUCUCUGACUUCCCUUUUGCCUGUUUGUGUUCAUCUUCUUUUCCAUUAGAGGUUGGUAUUGAAUAGAGUUCCCGUGCUGCACAGGAGAAACUUGCUGUUCAUCUAUUUCUGUUUACUGGUUUUGUUUCUCUGCUUUUCUGCUCCACUGGCUGGUCUCCAGUAACCAAAAGGAGACAGACGUGGGUGUGAUUUCCGUGGAGAGACACACGUAUGCAUGUGAUGCAGACAGAGACGACUUGCAGGGAGGCGCUGGCUCCCCGGAGACCGGGAGCCCAUGACCUGCAGGUGAGGGGCGCCGGAGGCUUCACUCCAGCCUGAGUCCAUCGGAGGGAGUUCGUCUGAGUCCGACAGCACGUCACGGCUCUCCUGGUACUUCUCGAGGUCACGGCCGCAGGUGCUCGCUGACACGCACGCACGCUCGGGCACAGAAAUGCUCACAAGCAUCGGCUUCCUUGGCAGGUUUCACCUUCAGCUUCCGGCGGUUAGCUCAGUGGUGACGAGCGUGGCCCCUGAGUCCAAUCGCUCCGUUCCCUGCCUCCGCCCCCGCCGGUUCCUGUCCGACUGUCUCUCUGUCCCCUGCUGAGAUACAGCACGUGUUAAAGGCUCUGAAAAUGCCUGGCAUGCAGUAAGAACCCCACACAUGUCUGCUUUGUUAUUACUGUCACUUUAUUGUAUAUCAUAAACAGCCAAGCAUCCAUCUUAUACACAGUGAAGCAUUAGAAUUUAGAAUUUUUUUAAUCCAAUCUGAAGACUAUUUUAAUAGGGUGAGUUAAAAUCCAUCCAAAUUGGAUUUCCACCAUCAAUAUUGGAGGGUUUAUACCUCUGUCUUUUUUUUUUUUUUACGUUUUCUGUUCUAAUUUUUUUUUAACUAUUUCAUCAUUUCCCCUUCCCUGACUUCAGCUGGAUUUAAUUUUCAUUCCAUUAUUUUCAUUUUAUUCAUUCCCUUUCUCUGUGGGGUGCUGUGUGCUUGUUGGUGGAAGGGCCAAGCUGUCGUUUCUGUUGAGAAACGCGGAGCAUGUUCGACAGGCAGCUGGUGUCUUUCCAUCCACCCUGGGCGCCCAGCACGUGCAGGAGACACAAAAAAAGUACAAGGCUCACCUCUCGCUCUAAGGCUGCUGUGUCAAGACGGGGCCCCGAUGGUCUGAACCAAGGAGCAACGUGGGGGCUCACAGGCUCACUCCGUCUGAGCCGGGAGUCUGCAGGGGCAGGGGGAGAGUUGGGGGGCUCUCAGGAGACGUUGCACAAGAGACGUGGGGUGACGGGGGCCAGUGUGCUGGCUGAGGUGGUGGGAAGUGGACGGGCGACAUGCACAUUCUGAAGACAGAGCCAAUAGGGGAAAAGCCAAAAUAUUUCCUCUCCCAGCGGCCGCUGAUUCAGACGAGGCUCAUCCAUGGAGUCUGAAGCCAGCGGUGAAAUGUGGCGAGAAACAGGACAUUACAGAGUCCUCAGGUAUCUUCUGAUGGGAUGUUUCUUAACUGCAAAAACAGGGGAAACCCGGCAGACACCACAUUCUCCAAGGGGCCCGCGCCAGCGUCACCAGCAACGAGACGGACAGACGGCGGGUGCUGUGGUGGUUGAAGCACCGAGGAGGACGCGCCGGCACUGUGCUGGGCCUCACCCACAGCGAGGCAACGUCCGGCAGACCCACGUUCAAGGCCUUCUGCGGAAUACCUGGCCUGUGCUCGGAAAGGAGAGGCAAAGUUAGCACCGCAACCCGGGAGCUGCUUCUGACUUUGAAGGACUGAAACUCGUUGGGGCACUGCUCCGGCUGGGUUAGUCGCCGCCCACGGGAGCUCGGAGGCUCCCCGGUGAGACUGUGAAACCGCAGGGACGGAGGACGGGCCGCCAGCGCCCUGGAGGCACGUGUGAAUGGAGGCCAAGCCGGGCGUGCACACGAUGGGGACCCCACCAGCUCCACACGCCCCUUCUGGAACACGCCCAGGGAAGGUGAGGCCCGCCCGCCCUGGCCUAGCUACAUAAAGACAUGGGGUUGUUUUCAUAAAGAAAGGAAAGAGGAGUCCUUUCCAAACAAAUGCCAGAUGGACUGAGACCGGGGCCGGGGUG
Molecule: long non-coding RNA, 2154 nt
Organism: Camelus dromedarius (Arabian camel)
Lineage: Eukaryota; Metazoa; Chordata; Mammalia; Artiodactyla; Camelidae
Exons: 3
Source: RefSeq, a predicted model, not a curated record